UUUUAUUACAUUUAUUAAUUAUUUUUCUAUUGUGUCCAAUCUUAACUGGAAGAAAAGGGUAGGUGCCAAAACAGGAAAGAACAGAGAGACUAUUGAAUUCAAGUUUGCUGAAAUUCUAGGCAGUUCUUCCAGCUUUGCCAUCUCUUGCGGAUUUAUAGUCUAAGGGGAAAUUGACUAUGAAGAAAUCCUUUGAUGAUAAAUAAGCUUAAAAUUAUCUCUAAAAGACUGAUAAUUUCUAGCAUUGGUUUUAAAUUCUGGGGAAAAGACGCAGUCUCACACACUUUGGGGAAUGUAAUUGGUGCUUAUACGUUGUAGGGCUGUAUACAUCGGAAUCUUAAAUUCACAAUAAAUUUCACCUAGCAGUUCCACUAUUUGGAAUUUAUCCUAGAUAAAUAGCUUAAAUGUUAGGAUCGACAUUAAUUCCAUUUCUCCAGCAGUCUUGAAAUAAUUGAGCCACAGCGGUGGUAGAUGGCAAACACAGGAAAGAACAAUACCUCACAGUGAGGCUGAGACCCAGUCCCCUGAUCUGGAAUCAACCAGUCCCGGCGGUGAGAGCGCCAAACUUUAGCCACUAGACUACCAGGGAACCACAAAGCACAUACUUUUUUUUUUUCCUCCUUCAAUUGCUUCAGCAGAAAUUACGCUGACAUUGACCUCUAGAAAGCUCCAUCUACCCUUCCUGGUGCCACCCGCCCAUCCAAGGAAUAGUCCCAAAAGGCUGUCCUCUCCCUGCUUUCUCCAAGUUGCGAGCCCACACGCGACGUGCAGAGCUCUCUCCUUUCCUUCCAGCCAGUGGCGCUCCUCGAACACCUGCCAGGUUUACAAGUCCCGGAGCGAGUUGCAGCGUCCCGGCCGCACCUCACUACCGACCUAAAGAUGCGCCUUUGCUAGGCGGCAGCGCGUGGAGAGACUGUCGCUGGUCGGCGGGGCCAGAGCGCACCAGGCUUCCGGGAGGAGGCUGGAGCGGGGAGGCGCCCGGGGUGAGACCGUGGCACCCUCAACAUCAUAAAGGACUCAGAUUCCUGCAUUCCCGACAUCAUAAACGACUCAGACGGAUGCGGAAACCGAGACGGCCUGGAUGGAAAACUCUUUCAAGGAAGACCCCAGGGCCCUGAACGGAAUUCCGGAUAUUUUCUCUACAACGUACUACACCUGCCUUUUCUCACGUUAGUUAAUGGCAACUCCACCCUCCACACGUUCAGGCCAAAAACUGGACGCAGGUCUUUCUCUCAUGACCCACAUCCGAUUAGUUAGGAAAUUAUGUUCUUUUUUUGGUUGAUUUUUUCAUCUUUCUUCCCUCCCUCCAACCUUUCCUCCCUUCCUUCCUUCUUUCCUUCCUUCUUCCUUUUUUCCUAAGUAAGCUAACACAGGAUCAUGUUUCUUUUUUGGUUAAUUGCAGACUUUGAUCCACACAACUAUUCUCUUUCUUGGUCUGAAUUUUGGCAAACGACAAGCAAGGCAUAGAGAUCGCUUCAACUCGCUACCCGCGGCUCGCCCAGACGUUAGGGUUUUAGGCCGCCGUUAGACUUUGGCCCUGCAGGUCAAAAUCAGCUACUCUAGGCCUGUCUUCUCGGAGGCCAGUAGCAGCACCUGGUCCUCUCCGCGCGGCUUCUCCCGCCGGGUACGCAACCCUGCACCCCUUUCCUGUGACCUGCAGCGAAGCUCGGCGGCAGACCGGGUAUUCAACUGGCCAGGAGUUCUCGAGGCGCAGGUGCGGGUGUGCAGGGACGCGCGCGGUGAGUUUGCAGUUCCUGCCGGCUCCAGCAACAUCCCGGGUCAGUCCGAACUCCGAAGGCGCCAAGGCAGGGAGGGACCAGUAGGUGAAGGGCAGCCGCCCUCUUGCGCCGUUUCAGUCCUCCAGUCGCUGUUGAAUGGAGUUUCCGUCUCCAGUCUCAGCCAAAGCAGGCAAGGCGGACAACCUCGGCCUGGCAACCAGAAGUAUCAUUCCUUGAUUCAGGAUCAGGCUCAAGAGUUAACCCACCUACGGCAGAAGAUGAAGCUUGGGAGAGUGGCCUCUGUUCUUCUCAUCCAGCAUGUCAAGAACACACUAAAGACCUUUGAGGAGCUACUCCAGAGCAAUAACAUUGACCACUAUAUGGAGCAGCACUACUGCAAGCAGCUGGCCAAAGGAAGCCAGCUGGCAGAGAGCCUUGCCAGAAAAUUCAGCACAGAUGACUGUACAAGUAAGAAGAAUCAAGUAGGACAGGUGUCUUCGACUCUCAGUAUCUUGAGGAAGAUGCAUAAUAUGAGUAAAGUGACAGAAGUCCUAGAGACCAAGUGGGAUGCCCGGUCCCAGACUCAGCCCCAGAUCUGGUGCAGCAACCACACCCGGUCUACCCCACAUCACUCCCUGAGCAGCACGUCUCCACAGCUUGACAAGGAGGAAGUGCAUCCUUCAGUGACUGUAGUCAGUACUGCACAGUCCACUGUAGCCCCUCAUUCAUAUACUCAGAGUCACUCUUCUGGCUGUGGUGAGGACAUCCUGUGACAUGAUGCCUAGAGAGUCUGGAAGAAUGUUCUCCAGAACUUUUCCAGCCCUAUCCAACAGAAUUCUUGGGUGGGAACUUGGAGGCAUUGGAUAUU
This is an RNA transcript of Homo sapiens (human), 2583 nucleotides long. It is a transcript of the gene named PDE4DIP pseudogene 3, with no coding region annotated. The transcript is spliced from 5 exons. The record is from RefSeq and is a predicted model, not a curated record. NCBI's taxonomy places the organism in Eukaryota, Metazoa, Chordata, Mammalia, Primates, Hominidae.